UACCAGCUCUUCGAGUGGUGUGGAUGUUUAUUGGGCCUAAAGCAUCCGUAGCUGGCUGGGCAAGUCCCCUGUUAAAUCCACCGAUUUAAUCGUUGGAGUGCGGGGGAUACUGUUCGGCUAGGGGACGGGAGAGGCAGACGGUAUUUUCAGGGUAGGGGUGAAAUCCUAUAAUCCCGGGAAGACCACCAGUGGCGAAGGCUGUCUGCUAGAACGCGCCCGACGGUGAGGGAUGAAAGCUGGGGGAGCGAACCGGAUUAGAUACCCGGGUAGUCCCAGCUGUAAACGAUGCAGGCUAGGUGUUUGGGCGGCCACGUGCCGCUCUAGUGCCGCAGGGAAGCCGUUAAGCCUGCCGCCUGGGGAGUACGGCCGCAAGGCUGAAACUUAAAGGAAUUGGCGGGGAGCACCACAAGGGGUGAAGCUUGCGGUUU
RNAcentral lists this ribosomal RNA (428 nucleotides) under uncultured archaeon. Its description in RNAcentral is "bacterial SSU rRNA". It matches the Rfam family "Archaeal small subunit ribosomal RNA", at positions 474 to 903 of the family's 1478-position model. The record is from RNAcentral.